This 520-nucleotide ribosomal RNA is filed under the name uncultured Glomus. RNAcentral describes it as "SSU rRNA". It matches the Rfam family "Eukaryotic small subunit ribosomal RNA", at positions 569 to 1091 of the family's 1831-position model. The record is from RNAcentral. Lineage: Eukaryota; Fungi; Glomeromycota; Glomeromycetes; Glomerales; Glomeraceae.
CGCAGCCGCGGUAAUUCCAGCUCCAAUAGCGUAUAUUAAAGUUGUUGCAGUUAAAAAGCUCGUAGUUGAAUUUCGGGGUUAGUAGGUUGGUCGUGCCUCAGGUAUGUACUGAUCUCACUGAUUCCUCCUUCCUGAUGAACCGUAAUGCCAUUAAUUUGGUGUUGCGGGGAAACUGGACUGUUACUUUGAAAAAAUUAGAGUGUUUAAAGCAGGCUAACGCUUGAAUACAUUAGCAUGGAAUAAUGAAAUAGGACGUUCGAUCCUAUUUUGUUGGUUUCUAGGAUUGACGUAAUGAUUAAUAGGGAUAGUUGGGGGCAUUAGUAUUCAAUUGUCAGAGGUGAGAUUCUUGGAUUUAUUGAAGACUAACUACUGCAAAGCAUUUGCCAAGGAUGUUUUCAUUAAUCAAGAACGAAAGUUAGGGAUCGAAGACGAUCAGAUACCGUCGUAGUCUUAACCAUAAACUAUAGCCGACUAGGGAUCGGAUGAUGUUAAUUUUUAUGUACUUNAUUCGGCGCCUUAC